RNAcentral lists this ribosomal RNA (301 nucleotides) under uncultured bacterium. RNAcentral's name for it is "partial 16S ribosomal RNA". It matches the Rfam family "Archaeal small subunit ribosomal RNA", at positions 459 to 759 of the family's 1478-position model. The record is from RNAcentral.
CAGUAGCCGCGGUAACACCAGCAGCCCAAGUGGUGGUCGCGCUUAUUGGGCCUAAAGCGCUCGUAGCCUGGCCGGUAAGUUCCCCGUGAAAUCGGGUCGCCCAACGAUUCGGCUUGCGGGGAAUACUGUCGGUCUUGGGGCCGGGAGACGCCGAGGGUACUCCGGGGGUAGCGGUGAAAUGCUGUAAUCCUCGGGGGACUACCAGUGGCGAAGGCGCUCGGCGAUAACGGGCCUGACGGUGAGGGGCGAAAGCUGGGGGCGCGAACGGGAUUAGAUACCCCUGUAGUCCCUGUCUCUUAUA